CAGCCGCCGCGGGAAUACAGAGGGUGCGAGCGUUAAUCGGAUUUACUGGGCGUAAAGCGUGCGUAGGCGGCUAAUUGAGUCGGAUGUGAAAUCCCCGAGCUUAACUUGGGAAUUGCAUUCGAUACUGGUUAGCUAGAGUGUGGGAGAGGAUGGUAGAAUUCCAGGUGUAGCGGUGAAAUGCGUAGAGAUCUGGAGGAAUACCGAUGGCGAAGGCAGCCAUCUGGCCUAACACUGACGCUGAGGUACGAAAGCAUGGGGAGCAAACAGGAUUAGAUACCCGGGUAGUCCCUGUCUCUUAUAC
Molecule: ribosomal RNA, 301 nt
Filed under: uncultured bacterium
Lineage: Bacteria
Description: partial 16S ribosomal RNA
Rfam family: Bacterial small subunit ribosomal RNA
Source: RNAcentral